AACGUCGCUCAGUGCAAGGUUCUGAAAGAACAGGUCAAGACACUUAUGAGUUGAUCACACACAAAUUUUGACAAAUAGAUGCUUUUAUUGAACAGACUCAUCACAGAUUGUUUGAAAUGUCAACUCGUUGUAGAUUUCGAUUGGGUGUUGCUUGGGCGUGCUGCCACCCAUGUGAUCAGAGUCUUUCGUAUCUUUUACGUUUCCUUGUUGCCAUUUUUAGUGAAGAAUAGGUCCUAGAAUACGAAAUUAACAUCAAAGAGUCACGACUUAUAUCUAUCUUAGCUUUCAACAUUGAAUAAAUGAACUAAAGUACCUACUCAUAUGAAAAUAUUCUUCUAACAUCACCCCCAUAAACACAAAUAUAGAAAGUGUGGUAUCGUUCGAAAGGUAAUUGAACAGCAUUUAAUUUAAACUGUAUAAUACGACCUACAUGUUGAAACUGUUGUGCAGGAAAAACGCUUUACCCAUUAAAAUAUGGUUUUUCAAAAUUAUUUCAAAAAGUUGCCGUCCACUUUCCGACUACUUGCCCUGAUUUAUGAUCAGUGGACAUCGACUAACAUUAAUCUACAAUAAAAUUUGAGUUACAUUACAAUUUUAAUUAGCCAUCGUUCAAGCACACCGUGGUGCCCAAGUUGAAGAAG
Long non-coding RNA from Bradysia coprophila, 641 nucleotides. The record is from RefSeq and is a predicted model, not a curated record. NCBI's taxonomy places the organism in Eukaryota, Metazoa, Arthropoda, Insecta, Diptera, Sciaridae.